This 829-nucleotide long non-coding RNA is filed under the name Brachypodium distachyon (stiff brome). RNAcentral's name for it is "long non-coding RNA (BDIS_LNC004291)". Lineage: Eukaryota; Viridiplantae; Streptophyta; Magnoliopsida; Poales; Poaceae. The record is from RNAcentral.
GCGACGGUAUGGCCUCUCCUCCCUCGCUGUUAAUUAGUGUUAGGGUUUAUAAUGUUUGAAAUUUGAAGUUAAUUAGGCUUUUAAAUGUUUAGUUUAAGCUAUUUAGGGUUUAAAUUAAUCUUGAUGUUUAUGUUUAGUUCUAGUUACUUAGGAUUUUUAAUGUUUAGUUCUAGCUAUUUAGGGUUUAAAUUAAUCUUGAUAUUUAUGUUUAGUUCUAGUUACUUAGGAUUUUUAAUGUUUAGUUCUAGCUAUUUAGGGUUUAAAUCUUGCUGUUUAUGUUUUUUUCUAGUUACUUAGGCUUUUUAAUGUUUAGUUCUAGCUAUGUGGUUGCUGUUUAUGUUCAUUAUUACUGCUCUUGGUGCAAAGAUUGAUACAUGGAUGUGAUCCCGACCAUCGUGUCGGUUGAUAUGAGGAAUGUGGGCCCGGCCAUUGUGCCGGGUCCUUGAGAAGGGUCCGGCCAUCGUGCCGAGGGGGUAUAUGUGGGUGGGAGUUUUUUUUAUGCAGGUAUAACAUUCGGGUAGACUCAUUUGUUGUUUUACAGCAAUGGGCAUGCCGAAAUUUUCUUGUUUUACAGCAUAGGUAGCGAAUUUUUCUGUUUUUUUAAAUUACUUUUAUAAGUGUUGGAUAGGAACCUCAGGCUCGCGUUGUAGUGGUGCCUGAGCAGCCACCGGUUGUGGAGGGACAAGUCGAAAAAGAAGCGGGGGCAUCUUCCUCGGGCUCGGAAAUUGCCAUGAGCGAAGAAGGAUCCGAGGAGCAGCUGUUCCUUGAAGAAGCCGAGGGGCAGCUGCUCCUUGAAGAAGCAGCUCACGAGGAAGGAGCCCAGGGUGCG